This 2297-nucleotide long non-coding RNA is filed under the name Homo sapiens (human). RNAcentral describes it as "novel transcript". The record is from RNAcentral. Lineage: Eukaryota; Metazoa; Chordata; Mammalia; Primates; Hominidae.
GGAGGCUGGGGCAUUUUUCUGCUGCGCUGGCCUGCAUCUGCCUUUCGAGUAGCCCUAGAGGCCUAACGCUUGAGGUCACCUUCAUGGUUUUUCCAGUGACCUUGGCCAUUAAUGAGCUCCCACCGCUUCCCCAGCUGCAGCUGUAUUAUAGCGCCAGAGUCUUCCAAGCCUGCAGGUUGUGCCAAGCCUGGAGGGAUUUGCAAAAGUGGCUCUCCCAGAGAGGCUGCUCUCUUUGCUGGAAUUUGCCUUGUUCUCUCCUCACUGCUGAAGCACUGUCACUGCGUCCUAAAAAAACACCACAGUAUUUCUUUAUAGCAGCGCAAGAACAGACUCAUACAGGAUCACUGCAUGUGGAAUCAGCUUCCAGGACUGUGAAACAAGACAUUUCUUUGGUUCAAGCCACUCCCUUAGUGCACAUUGUUAUGGCAGCCAUGGAAAACCAUCCACAGAGGGUCAGUUCCUAUGGAGGUGGGGUGAGUGACGAGAUGUUCCUGACUGGGCUGACAACGGAGGACGAGAGAGCUUGGGUGUGGAUGGGAAAAUAACUAGAAACUUCCCUUGAUCUCUCAGCAUUCUGUUCCAUCCCUGUCACUUCGAUGUCUCUCUUUCUUGAAUAUGGAAGCAGCCCUGGGCCCAGCUGCUGCAGGUGGCCAGGAAGGAGCCUGGGAGGAUGACGGGGUUCCUGAUCUGAUAGAACUGGGCUGUGACUAGGCAGAACCCUGUUCCACCACACACACCCCAGUGGAGGACGUUCUGUAUCUGUGAUGAAUGACCCCUGCAUACAUUAUAUCUUUCAGUAAAAACAGUGGUGUUUCAGUAGUGUUACUAGCUAAGCUGCUUAACUCUCACAUUACAGACGUCAGUGAAGCCCCUUGGUAGGUAGUGUCUAAAAUUAGAUUUAUCUGCUUAUUUACACAAUUAUACUCUCAUGAGUUUGAAUGUUGGGGAAAGAUCAAGAAAAAGACCAGAUCACUAGAUGGCAAUAGCACACAAGAGCUUUAUUUGGAUGAAGCUUGGACAGAAUGCAUGGAAGGGGAAAGUCCCUUGCAGCAGAAGACCUUCCAGAGGCAGUGGCAGGGCCACCACCAGAAGAAAAGGGCAAGGACACUCCCAGGGGAGAGGAGGAUCAGAGAGGAGGUUACAGGUCUAAGAGAUGUCACAGGUCUAGAAGAAAAGAAAAGGAGCCAGGUGCAGUGGCUCACACCUGUAAUCCCAGCACUUUGGGAGGCCCAGGCGGGCAGAUUGCUGAGUUCAGGAGUUUGAGACCAGCCUAGGCAAACAUGGUGAAACCCCAUCUCUAAAAAAAGAUUUAAAAAUUAACCAGGCCUGGUGGCAUGUACCUGAAGUCUCAUUUACUUGGGGGGCUAAGGCUGGAGGAUCGUUUGAACCCAAGAGGGUUCAUGGUGGGGAGCAUCAUGGUGAGGAGUCUCUGGGUCAGAGAGCUCCAAAGGACAGCAGCCAUUUGGGGUCUUUUGUAGCCCUGAGGUUCGUCUUACCUAUGGUGAGAGGGUGUCGGGUGUAGUUUUGCAAAUUAUCGAAGCAGGCAGGCUCUAAAUGGGCAAAUAAUAUUUGGCCUACAUUUAAAGCAAUUGGAUGUGCAAGAAUUUGAGUUUGGUGCUGGCAGGCUUGAGUUAACGGUCCUGGGCUGUGGUGUGGAAGUAAACAGCAUGGGGGCCAAUACACAGGGGCUGUCUUGAACUCGUUCAUACAAUCCAUUUAUAACCUGUUUAUAACUUGUUUAUAACCCAUUUAUACCACAUACCCCUAAAGCAAAUACCUAGCAGAUAGCAUGCAGGGCCUAUUUGCCUGGCCUCCUUCAAUGGCAUCACAUUCUCCACCACCACGAUGGUUAAUAUGGACGAGCCCUAGCAGCUGCCCAGUGAAGUCCACACGCUACUGCCCAAACCAGCUCAAGUCCUUAGUUGUCAUGAAAAUAAUGUGAGUUCCCACAGCCGUAAAAGGGAAAGCAGCAAGAGCCACAUGAGCAUCCCCGGAACCCUGGGAACAGUCAUCAGUGUCAUCUUCAGGGUCAUGUCCCUACAAGCAGUUCUCAGGCUCCUGCUGAGGGUCAGAACAGAGCCGAAGUCACAGGAUAUCAAAAAUGGAUAAGCCCAACCUCAGCUCGCAGAGGAAUUGCUCAGCUGACAGAUGAUUGUGUUAUCUCAGUGAAGCCAGAUGACAAUGUACUUGGCCAACGGAACAUCUUGGUCAAUGGAUCUCCAAGUUGGUUAUAAAAUUAAAGCAAAAUAAUGCCAUUAUAUGUAAGAUGUCAUUGAUUGUAAGAUGCUCCUUUAUUU